GGCUUAAUUUUAAGGAAGAAACAGAAUGCUGUUAAUCUUCAAGGAAAUGUCAGCAUUGUAAGCACAGAGACUACUUGAUACUUUUCCAAUUUCAAGUCAAGAAUUUUGGAGGGACAAACCUAAAACUAAGUUUGCUUGAAAACCACAACAAAGAAGGGGCAAUCUCAAGUUAUGGAUGGCUGCCAUAGUGAAAUAAAACACUACUCCUCAUUGACCUUCUGGAAUAGUUUUAACUUAAAGGUCUUCAGGCAUUCUCCAUGACAUGGAAACAGCCAGUAAGCACCUUGACACAGUGCAAGGACCUGUCUUGGUAUUCAGUAUUGGUCAUCCCUAAUUUGUGCUAAACAAAACUUCAUAUGUGACCCCAGUGUAAUGAACAGAGCAAACCCAGAACUAUAGUUUGGAGUGGAGUGAGCUGCUCCAUUUCCAAGGUUCCUGGUUUUCUCUGUGUAAAAAUCACAAAUUCUCUGAUAAAAUUGCAAAUUCUCUAAUUAAAAA
Long non-coding RNA from Gavialis gangeticus (Gharial), 498 nucleotides. RefSeq lists it as uncharacterized. The record is from RefSeq and is a predicted model, not a curated record. NCBI's taxonomy places the organism in Eukaryota, Metazoa, Chordata, Crocodylia, Gavialidae. The transcript is spliced from 3 exons.